This 264-nucleotide long non-coding RNA is filed under the name Salvia miltiorrhiza (redroot sage). Its description in RNAcentral is "long non-coding RNA (SMIL_LNC009295)". Lineage: Eukaryota; Viridiplantae; Streptophyta; Magnoliopsida; Lamiales; Lamiaceae. The record is from RNAcentral.
GUGGAUAGAGGGAGUAUCUUCAUUUAUACAUGAAAGGUAUAAAUCAAUUUAAACUGAGCAAGUUAUGACGAUUUAAAAUUUCUAUAUGUUAAAUAUUUUUUUGUGUUUCUUUUAGUUUUUUAAAAUAUUGUUUUAAAGUUGAGAUUAUUGACACGUUAAAACAUUUUUGUAGCGUUUUCUUUCCUUUUUUCUUCGUUAUUUUCUUAUUUGUGACAUUUCGAAUUUUCAUAUUAUGUAAUUCUAUUUAUUUACAUUGAUUUUUUU